RNAcentral lists this ribosomal RNA (501 nucleotides) under Triticum aestivum (bread wheat). Its description in RNAcentral is "partial small subunit ribosomal RNA". Lineage: Eukaryota; Viridiplantae; Streptophyta; Magnoliopsida; Poales; Poaceae. The record is from RNAcentral.
AUGCCAACUGGAGAUAAAGCGGUCAAACCAACCCGCCCGAACACCAAAGCCGUAAAAUGGACAUCAAAGCGGAAAACGGCUGACCGGAUCACUAUGGAACUUGAUGAUGAUACUGAUGACCCAGAAGUUGAGGUAGAACUUGACUCACUUGGCUCUCUUUUUAUGCAUCUUGUUAACAAUGAUCUACCUCAGGAGGAGGCAGAAGCUAGUCAGGCUGAGGACGUAGAGGUAAUUACCCUUUCCUCCGGUUCAGACUCUAUGCCAACACAAAAAACUUGCCAAACAAUUCGGAAAGUAAGAUUUUCUCAUCCUCUUGCUCACUUGGAUCCAACAUUUAUUUUGAAGACUCAACAGCAUGAAGCUCGCCGAACAACCCGCACAGUGGCCAACAGGUCACCUCUACCGGUUUACCUGAUACCCCGGUUCGGAAGCGCCGGUCUGAGGUCUCUCCUACUUCUGACCAUUCUUACCCAAGGCAGGUUAUUUCAGACAGACUCUUAA